GAGGGUAUGGCUCAGUGGUAGAAUAAGUACUUAGCAUGCACGAGGUCCUGGGUUCAAUCCCCAGUAUCUCCA
This 72-nucleotide transfer RNA is filed under the name Camelus bactrianus (Bactrian camel). It matches the Rfam family "tRNA". Rfam says of the family: Transfer RNA (tRNA) molecules are approximately 80 nucleotides in length. Lineage: Eukaryota; Metazoa; Chordata; Mammalia; Artiodactyla; Camelidae. The record is from Rfam by way of RNAcentral. RNAcentral also lists the same sequence under 2 other names.